This 807-nucleotide ribosomal RNA is filed under the name Triticum aestivum (bread wheat). RNAcentral's name for it is "partial small subunit ribosomal RNA". Lineage: Eukaryota; Viridiplantae; Streptophyta; Magnoliopsida; Poales; Poaceae. The record is from RNAcentral.
AUGAGCAUCACGGCGGCGGCGGUGGUAGCGGAGCCGCGCGCGUUCGCCAUCGGGGCCGCGCCGGCCGUGGAGAUGGGCCCGGAGCUGGCGCCGCCGGAGCCGAGCCGCGGCCUUGGGCAGGACGGCGGCGUGGCGGUGGCGGCGGCGGAGGGGCGGGCGUCGCGGUUCCGGCGGAUCUGCGUCUACUGCGGCAGCGCCAAGGGGCGCAAGGCCAGCUACCAGGACGCCGCCCUCGACCUCGGCAAGGAGAUGGUGGAGAGGGGCAUAGACCUGGUGUACGGGGGCGGCUCCAUCGGCCUGAUGGGCCUCGUCUCCCACGCCGUCCACGCCGGCGGCCGCCAUGUCAUCGGGAUCAUCCCAAGAUCACUCAUGCCCAGAGAGGUAACUGGGGAUCCUGUGGGUGAAGUUAGAGCCGUGUCUGGCAUGCACGAGAGGAAGGCCGAGAUGGCUCGGUUUGCUGAUGCUUUUAUUGCCUUGCCAGGCGGCUACGGAACCUUGGAGGAGUUGCUUGAAGUGAUCACGUGGGCACAACUAGGAAUACAUAAGAAGCCGGUCGGUCUGCUGAACGUCGACGGAUUCUACGACCCACUGCUGUCGUUCAUCGACGUUGCCGUCAACGAAGGCUUCAUCACCCAGGAGGCGAGGCAGAUCAUCAUCUCGGCCCCGACAGCCAAGGAGCUAGUCAAGAAGCUGGAGGAGUACGUCCCCGAGUACGAGGUCGGCCUGGUCUGGGAUGACCAGAACCAGAUGCCAAGCAACAGCCUGGUCCCGGAGCCGCUGGAGACACCUGCGAUCACCUCGUCCUGA